Molecule: long non-coding RNA, 591 nt
Filed under: Heterocephalus glaber (naked mole-rat)
Lineage: Eukaryota; Metazoa; Chordata; Mammalia; Rodentia; Bathyergidae
Description: lncRNA (ENSHGLG00000050609.1)
Source: RNAcentral
GGAGGGAAGACUCACCCUGGGUGUGGGUGGUACCAGCCAAUAGGCUUUUAGCUGGGAUGGAAUACAAAGGGAAAGAAGGAGGAAAUCUGCCCUUUUCUUUGGAGGAGCUCCGGUCUUCACCCUCAUCUUUGGAUGUUCAUUUUCAGCCUUCUAGGGCAGACCUUCUGGUUUCCCAACAGGGAUUCACAUUGGCUCUGCAACCUUGGGCUGGAUCCUCUGGCUCUCCAGUGCACAGACGGCCAUUCAGACAGAGACCAGGACCAGUGCUUCCAUUUCCUGGGGACUUUCAUUGAGAGGUCACAAGAAAGGAAGGUACUCAGUUGGGCUGCUCGCUUUCCUGGCCUUCAGAUGCUGGUGGUGUGCUUUUAAAACAUUAAAGGAGAGAGCACAAGGCCAAGGGAAAGUCCACGGGAGCAGGAUGACAGCUGAGGUGGCUAAGCCCUAACUAUUACUAUUAGGAGCCAAAAGCGAGUCUCCAGUUGCCACGAUAACCAAAUUUACCCAAGGCCAAUGGUCGCCCAUACUCAGCAUUGUAUCAUCAGUCUUUUUCCUUGCCCUUUAAAUGUCAUGUUAAAUAAACCAGCAUGUUAU